CCCAGAGGCGUUCCUGUGAGAGGAUGGGGAAGAGAUUAGUUCUUAGUUCCUGGGCGCACCCCUCCCCCUCUCUCGUGCACAGGGAAAUGAUGGCGGCAACACAGCAAAGGAGACCAUGUCCUGGAGAGGGUCCCGGGUCCGGGGCCCCACCCUCCCCGGGGGGCUUGUGCAAGCCUGGCGGCUCGAUCUCUGCUGAUUCCUGUAUUGGGGGUACAGAGGAGGCACAGGACAGUUUUUGUCGAAGCCAGUGCAGCCUCCACUUGGGGAAGCUGAGACCAGCGAGGAAACGGUGAGCCUGGAUGAGUUUCUUUGCCGGGAGGCUGGCACGGGCAUGGAACCAGGGAACAGCCUUUGCCCUCCGGAGCACUGGGUACCCUGAGAAAAGUGAGAAGAGAGAUUGCAGCUAGGUCCCUGCGGAGGAGGAUGGGCUCCUUUCCCAGGAAGGACUGGCUGAGUGGACUGUCUCCAGGGCACAGAACAACAUUGAGAGACUGAGGCCUCCGCCUGCUUGAGGAAGGCCCAUGUGAAUUUCCUGACACAGAAUGGGGACGGGUUUCUGACAGCACCACCCAGCUGAGCCUGCGCAGACUGAACAGCUGUUUCCAGGCCAGGCUGGCUGCAUGGAGGACAUGAGAGGAGCAGCCAGCUGUGUGUACUGGACCCACUGAUUAGGGUGCUCAGGACCAGGAGCCCUCUGAGGAUGUGCAGAAGGGACUCUGGAGAGAGGAACGUGGCGGCCACAGCUGGAGUGACCGCAGUGUACAGAGAUGGGAUGGGAGCAGGAAACCCAAAAGAGCUGGCCCUGGAACCAGGUGGAGGGGAGGCAGCCCAGCCAUGCCAGAGAGGGUAAUGUGGUUUGGAUCUGUGUUCCCACCCAAAUUUUAGGUUCCAUUUUAAUCCUCAGUGUUGGAGGUGGGUCUUGAUAGGAGGUGAUCAGAUCAUGGGGGUGGAUUCUAAUGGUUUAGUACCAUCCCCCUUGGUGCUGUCCUCAUGAUAGUGAGCUAUCAUGAGAUCUGGUUGUUUAAAAGCAUGUUGCACCUCCCCUGAACUUCUCUUGGUCCUACCCCUGCCAUGUAGGACACCUGCUCCACUUCACCUUUCACCAUGAGUAAAAGCUCCUUGAGGCUUCCCAAGAAGUAGAUGCCCCGUGCUUGCUGUACAGCCUGCAGAACUGUGAGCCAAUUAAAC
RNAcentral lists this long non-coding RNA (1188 nucleotides) under Theropithecus gelada (gelada). Its description in RNAcentral is "lncRNA (ENSTGEG00000011886.1)". The record is from RNAcentral. Lineage: Eukaryota; Metazoa; Chordata; Mammalia; Primates; Cercopithecidae.